GACGAACGCUGGCGGCGUGCCUAAUACAUGCAAGUAGAACGCUGAAGAGAGGAGCUUGCUCUUCUUGGAUGAGUUGCGAACGGGUGAGUAACGCGUAGGUAACCUGCCUUGUAGCGGGGGAUAACUAUUGGAAACGAUAGCUAAUACCGCAUAUCAAUGGAUGACACAUGUCAUUUAUUUGAAAGGGGCAAUUGCUCCACUACAAGAUGGACCUGCGUUGUAUUAGCUAGUAGGUGAGGUAAUGGCUCACCUAGGCGACGAUACAUAGCCGACCUGAGAGGGUGAUCGGCCACACUGGGACUGAGACACGGCCCAGACUCCUACGGGAGGCAGCAGUAGGGAAUCUUCGGCAAUGGGGGCAACCCUGACCGAGCAACGCCGCGUGAGUGAAGAAGGUUUUCGGAUCGUAAAGCUCUGUUGUAAGUCAAGAACGGGUGUGAGAGUGGAAAGUUCACACUGUGACGGUAGCUGACCAGAAAGGGACGGCUAACUACGUG
This 497-nucleotide ribosomal RNA is filed under the name uncultured bacterium. RNAcentral describes it as "partial 16S ribosomal RNA". It matches the Rfam family "Bacterial small subunit ribosomal RNA", at positions 28 to 507 of the family's 1533-position model. The record is from RNAcentral.